UCUAGUCCGGACUACAGUCUAGUCUAUAGUCUGGACUACAGUCUAGUCUAUAGUCUGGACUACAGUCUAGUCUAUAGUCUGGACUAGACUAAUCCAGUCUAUAGUCUGAACUAGAGUAGUCCAGUCUAUAGUCUGGACUAGACUAGUCCAGUCUAUAGUCUGGACU
Molecule: small nucleolar RNA, 166 nt
Organism: Lucilia sericata (common green bottle fly)
Lineage: Eukaryota; Metazoa; Arthropoda; Insecta; Diptera; Calliphoridae
Product: small nucleolar RNA snR80
Exons: 1
Source: RefSeq, a predicted model, not a curated record